GACGAACGCUGGCGGCGUGCUUAACACAUGCAAGUCGAACGGUAAGGCCCUUCGGGGUACACGAGUGGCGAACGGGUGAGUAACACGUGGGUGAUCUGCCCUGCACUUCGGGAUAAGCCUGGGAAACUGGGUCUAAUACCGGAUAGGACUCCGGACUGCAUGGUCUGGGGUGGAAAGCUUUUGCGGUGUGGGAUGGGCCCGCGGCCUAUCAGCUUGUUGGUGGGGUGAUGGCCUACCAAGGCGACGACGGGUAGCCGGCCUGAGGGGGUGACCGGCGACACUGGGACUGAGAUACGGCCCAGACUCCUACGGGAGGCAGCAGUGGGGAAUAUUGCACAAUGGGCGCAAGCCUGAUGCAGCGACGCCGCGUGAGGGAUGACGGCCUUCGGGUUGUAAACCUCUUUCAGCAUCGACGAAGCGAAAGUGACGGUAGGUGCAGAAGAAGGACCGGCCAACUACGUGCCAGCAGCCGCGGUAA
This 478-nucleotide ribosomal RNA is filed under the name uncultured bacterium. RNAcentral describes it as "partial 16S ribosomal RNA". It matches the Rfam family "Bacterial small subunit ribosomal RNA", at positions 28 to 523 of the family's 1533-position model. The record is from RNAcentral.